RNAcentral lists this ribosomal RNA (407 nucleotides) under Verrucomicrobiota bacterium. RNAcentral's name for it is "Verrucomicrobia bacterium partial 16S ribosomal RNA". It matches the Rfam family "Bacterial small subunit ribosomal RNA", at positions 355 to 776 of the family's 1533-position model. Lineage: Bacteria; Pseudomonadati; Verrucomicrobiota. The record is from RNAcentral.
UGGGGAAUAUUGGACAAUGGAGGGAACUCUGAUCCAGCAAUUCUGUGUGUGUGAAGAAGGUUUUAGGACUGUAAAACACUUUUAGUAGGGAAGAAAAAAAUGACGGUACCUACAGAAGAAGCAACGGCUAAAUACGUGCCAGCAGCCGCGGUAAUACGUAUGUUGCGAGCGUUAUCCGGAAUUAUUGGGCUUAAAGGGCAUCUAGGCGGUAAGACAAGUUGAAGGUGAAAACCUGUGGCUCAACCAUAGGCUUGCCUACAAAACUGUUGAACUAGAGUACUGGAAGGGUGGGUGGAACUACACGAGUAGAGGUGAAAUUCGUAGAUAUGUGUAGGAAUGCCGAUGAUGAAGAUAACUCACUGGACAGAAACUGACGCUGAAGUGCGAAAGCUAGGGGAGCAAACAGG